RNAcentral lists this transfer RNA (68 nucleotides) under Brachycentrus maculatus. RNAcentral describes it as "tRNA-Trp". Lineage: Eukaryota; Metazoa; Arthropoda; Insecta; Trichoptera; Brachycentridae. The record is from RNAcentral.
AAAACUUUAAGUUAAAAUUUAAACUAAUAAUCUUCAAAAUUAUAAAUAAUUAUAUUAAUUAAGUUUUA